GACGAACGCUGGCGGCGUGCCUAAUACAUGCAAGUAGAACGCACAGUUUAUACCGUAGCUUGCUCCACCAUAGACUGUGAGUUGCGAACGGGUGAGUAACGCGUAGGUAACCUGCCUGGUAGCGGGGGAUAACUAUUGGAAACGAUAGCUAAUACCGCAUAAUAUUAAUUAUUGCAUGAUAAUUAAUUGAAAGGUGCAAUUGCACCACUACCAGAUGGACCUGCGUUGUAUUAGCUAGUAGGUGAGGUAACGGCUCACCUAGGCGACGAUACAUAGCCGACCUGAGAGGGUGAUCGGCCACACUGGGACUGAGACACGGCCCAGACUCCUACGGGAGGCAGCAGUAGGGAAUCGUCGGCAAUGGACGAAAGUCUGACCGAGCAACGCCGCGUGAGUGAAGAAGGUUUUCGGAUCGUAAAGCUCUGUUGUAAGAGAAGAACGGGUGUGAGAGUGGAAAGUUCACACUGUGACGGUAACUUACCAGAAAGGGACGGCUAACUACGUG
This 505-nucleotide ribosomal RNA is filed under the name uncultured bacterium. RNAcentral describes it as "partial 16S ribosomal RNA". It matches the Rfam family "Bacterial small subunit ribosomal RNA", at positions 28 to 507 of the family's 1533-position model. The record is from RNAcentral.